This is a long non-coding RNA of Megalops cyprinoides (Indo-Pacific tarpon), 612 nucleotides long. RefSeq lists it as uncharacterized. The record is from RefSeq and is a predicted model, not a curated record. NCBI's taxonomy places the organism in Eukaryota, Metazoa, Chordata, Actinopteri, Elopiformes, Megalopidae. The transcript has 3 exons.
GGAAUUAAACUAGCCACAUGAUUGCGUGCAUCUGUUUCUAUGUUUUGCUGCUUGCCUUCAUAGUGACAACUACGACAUAAGUAGCCUACUGUAGGUUUGCAUUGAUAGUUCUUAAAAAUGACUGCAACUACUUUCCGACUGUUGAACUUAGUUAUUGAUGUCGUUGUUCUAUCAGUUUAGUGACGACAAGGCAUUGGAGCAUAAACCAGCUUUCAGAACCGCGAAGAAAAUUGAGACUAUGGAAAAGUUGGGGAGACACCAAUCACAGCAACCCAGUGCAGUCAAGGAGCAAGGUCCCAGAUCACAGAGACACGGCCUUCCCAGAUGGAGGACGCAGCAUGGACUUACAAAGCAUAUGCAUAACAGGUCAUAUUCAUGAGAAAUAUUGAAUGAAAAGCUGUACAUAAACAGGCUGACCCAGUUCUGAGGGACAGUAAUGAUAUUAUUCAAUUGGUAACAGUGUCCUGUCCUGUACUGUCAAGUAAAGAUAUCUUUGUACUGAAGGACAAUGGCAAGAAAGCAUGUUGACUUUCACAGUUUACAAUAACUGAAAACCACAGAUGUCAAGAGGAAAGUCUUACUCAACAUAAAGAAAAGAUCCUGAUCAAUCUG